Molecule: long non-coding RNA, 289 nt
Filed under: Bos taurus (domestic cattle)
Lineage: Eukaryota; Metazoa; Chordata; Mammalia; Artiodactyla; Bovidae
Description: long non-coding RNA NONBTAT014923
Source: RNAcentral
UUUUGGGGCUUUGAGUUAGAGAAACCUGGGUAGUGAUGGAGCAUAUUAAGGGUGGAUCACUGGACAAGUAAUUUUAUAUCUGUGAUGCAGAGGUAAGUAAUAGUACUCGACGUAAAAGGAUGUGGUGAGAAAUGUAUUUAGAACACGAAUGUAGUAUCUAGCACGCGCUAAAUGUGCAAUGUCAGCUAUCACAACUGUUCCUAUUUAAAAGGCGUUCCUAUUUAAAAUAUUCCCUGUUUAAAAGCAAGCUGGUGCUGGUGUGUAUGCUGGGGGUUGGUGGUGGUAGAAA